AGUUGUUAAAAACUAAGUCUGGAGAUACAAAAGAUGCCAGACUAAAUUCAAACCCACCCUUAAUAGUGGCUUGUCAGUUUUGCUGGCAAAUCCUCCAGGAGGAAAAAGAGAGACAAGGCUCAAGGAAGAUAUUUUAGAUCAAUAGACAGCAACCGAGGAAGGACACAGACAAAUCACCACUCCUCCCAGUAUCCUGACAAAGGAUAACAAGGAAGAAUGGGAGACAGGUCACUCUACAUCUGAGUUCUUGACUGUCUUGUCCCAGAAAAGGUA
Long non-coding RNA from Mauremys reevesii (Reeves's turtle), 273 nucleotides. RefSeq lists it as uncharacterized. The transcript is spliced from 4 exons. The record is from RefSeq and is a predicted model, not a curated record. Lineage: Eukaryota; Metazoa; Chordata; Testudines; Geoemydidae.